AUGAAAAUGGCAAACAAAAUAAAUUAUUUAACUUAAGUCUGAAGUACAAUGUGUGAGCUGUCAUAAUUAAUAAUGAGUACGGUGAACACGGCAAACAGUAUAGGAUUUCAGUAUACUGGUGCUUACUGUAGUUAUGUAAUUUCCAAUGGCAUUUACAUUAAACGAUUCGAGUCACCUUACCGAGAUUUUCGAAACAUCUUAAGUAGUUGCAAUUAGAGUCAGUUAGUACAACAUCAUGGCUUCAAAAAUAACAAUAGCAGGGAUUCUCCUCCUAUGUAUUUGUUUUUUGCAAUUAGCGUUCGCUGGAGGACCCCAUAGCAGUGAUCUUUCCAAAGCGGCGGAUGGAACUACUGGGGAAAGACUUAAGACCGACAAGAGAGAACUCUCCCAUAAAGUUUUGAUGUCAGGAGCUGGUUGAAUGGAAUAAAUAAAUGAAAUCAUCAAACAUGCUAACAGUUAUAUUGUACUGAAUGAAGAAUUUAUGCAUGUUUUAUUAAUAAAGAAGAGGAACUGUCAAUCCUA
Long non-coding RNA from Drosophila ficusphila, 522 nucleotides. RefSeq lists it as uncharacterized. NCBI's taxonomy places the organism in Eukaryota, Metazoa, Arthropoda, Insecta, Diptera, Drosophilidae. The transcript is spliced from 2 exons. The record is from RefSeq and is a predicted model, not a curated record.